AACUGAUACUACCUGCGGGAACCUGCGGAAGGAUCAUUACCGAGUGAGGGCCCUCUGGGUCCAACCUCCCACCCGUGUUUAUCGUACCUUGUUGCUUCGGCGGGCCCGCCUCACGGCCGCCGGGGGGCACCUGCCCCCGGGCCCGCGCCCGCCGAAGACAUCAUUGAACUCUGUCUGAAGAUUGCAGUCUGAGUAGAUUAGCUAAAUCAGUUAAAACUUUUAGCAACGGAUCUCUAGAUC
RNAcentral lists this unclassified non-coding RNA (240 nucleotides) under soil metagenome. RNAcentral describes it as "partial contains 5.8S ribosomal RNA, internal transcribed spacer 2, and large subunit ribosomal RNA". The record is from RNAcentral.